This 69-nucleotide transfer RNA is filed under the name Sphingopyxis sp. GW247-27LB. RNAcentral describes it as "tRNA-Lys". The record is from RNAcentral. Lineage: Bacteria; Pseudomonadati; Pseudomonadota; Alphaproteobacteria; Sphingomonadales; Sphingopyxidaceae.
GAUAUAAGUUAUUGAAAAGAUUGACUUUUAAUCAGUAGGUCGCUGGUUCGAACCCAGCAGGGCUCACCA